GGGUGCUUCGGUUUCCUCCCACAGUCCAAAGAUGUGCAGCUGUAACACUUAACCCAGGCGCAGGAUGUGUGUACGCCGUCUAUGUAACAGCAGCUGUGGCAAUUGAAAAACUCCAACACAAACCAAGUUUGUACCCUGAUUCCUGUCCAAGAGUCUUUUCAAUUUGUCAGCGACAGAAAAACAAAUGAAAAGCUUUGAGAAAGCUCAGCUGUUGACACCUUGCAACAUAACCUCUGCAAACUGAGUUACAAUGAACCCAUCAACCUUUCUUCCAAUCUUUCAUGAAUCAUUCAGUGAUCAUGGUGCUGAGAUAAGCAAAGUCUGCCUCCAUAAUUCCACAAUGCAUGGUUUAACAAACUUUCUACCUUGUCUCUCUCAUUACAAAGACAUACUAAAUUCUUCAGAUGGGGGGAAAGAAUGAUGGUGAGCUUUCAGUGAAGUGGCCCUUUGCGUCCAGAAAAGCGAUAUCUUUUUUUAAGAGAUUUCUUCUGAAUCAUUCAAUGCAAUAAAUGCUCAAUUGCACUAAUUCUGAGCUUCCUGUUUAUCAGAUUUGCUUACUAAGAUUUCAGGAUGCAUGUUCUAAACCGCUUUGUUUUACAUUCUAACAUUUAUAGAGCACAUUCCAUUAUGACAGUCAGUAGAACUCUGAACAUACAUUAGAGCAGUACUUGUAUUUUAUUAAGAAAUGGCAAUAGAUUAGCAAUAAAAACAUCAACUAACUCCAUUGUACACUGAAGUGAAUCUUUAUUUACUUUUGUGGAGACAAUAAAGGAAAAGGGGGAAAUAAUGAACAAUGUGUCAGCACCACUCUUUUCGAAUCAUAUAGUGCAGAAGCAUGGGCGGCAAUUAGAUUGGUGU
Non-coding RNA from Chiloscyllium plagiosum (whitespotted bambooshark), 858 nucleotides. The record is from RefSeq and is a predicted model, not a curated record. Lineage: Eukaryota; Metazoa; Chordata; Chondrichthyes; Orectolobiformes; Hemiscylliidae.